This 405-nucleotide ribosomal RNA is filed under the name uncultured bacterium. Its description in RNAcentral is "bacterial SSU rRNA". It matches the Rfam family "Bacterial small subunit ribosomal RNA", at positions 355 to 774 of the family's 1533-position model. The record is from RNAcentral.
UGGGGAAUAUUGCACAAUGGGCGCAAGCCUGAUGCAGCGACGCCGCGUGAGGGAUGACGGCCUUCGGGUUGUAAACCUCUGUCUUUGGGGACGAAGAAAGUGACGGUACCCAAAGAGGAAGCCACGGCUAACUACGUGCCAGCAGCCGCGGUAAUACGUAGGUGGCGAGCGUUGUCCGGAAUUACUGGGUGUAAAGGGUGCGUAGGCGGACUGGCAAGUUGGACGUGAAAUCUCCGCGCUUAACGUGGAGGUUGCAUUCAAAACUGUUGGUCUUGAGUGAGGCAGAGGCAGGCGGAAUUCCCGGUGUAGCGGUGAAAUGCGUAGAGAUCGGGAGAAACACCAGUGGCGAAGGCGGCCUGCUGGGCCUUAACUGACGCUGAGGCACGAAAGCAUGGGUAGCAAACA